RNAcentral lists this ribosomal RNA (997 nucleotides) under uncultured organism. Its description in RNAcentral is "bacterial SSU rRNA". It matches the Rfam family "Bacterial small subunit ribosomal RNA", at positions 356 to 1376 of the family's 1533-position model. The record is from RNAcentral.
GGGGAAUAUUGCACAAUGGAGGAAACUCUGAUGCAGCGAUGCCGCGUGAGGGAAGAAGGUUUUAGGAUUGUAAACCUCUGUCUUCAGGGACGAAAAAAGGACGGUACCUGAGGAGGAAGCUCCGGCUAACUACGUGCCAGCAGCCGCGGUAAUACGUAGGGAGCGAGCGUUGUCCGGAAUUACUGGGUGUAAAGGGAGCGUAGGCGGGAUCGCAAGUCAGAUGUGAAAACUAUGGGCUUAACCCAUAAACUGCAUUUGAAACUGUUUUUCUUGAGUAGUGCAGAGGUAGGCGGAAUUCCCGGUGUAGCGGUGGAAUGCGUAGAUAUCGGGAGGAACACCAGUGGCGAAGGCGGCCUACUGGGCACCAACUGACGCUGAGGCUCGAAAGUGUGGGUAGCAAACAGGAUUAGAUACCCUGGUAGUCCACACCGUAAACGAUGAUUACUAGGUGUUGGAGGAUUGACCCCUUCAGUGCCGCAGUUAACACAAUAAGUAAUCCACCUGGGGAGUACGACCGCAAGGUUGAAACUCAAAGGAAUUGACGGGGGCCCGCACAAGCAGUGGAGUAUGUGGUUUAAUUCGACGCAACGCGAAGAACCUUACCAAGUCUUGACAUCCCUUGACAGGCAUAGAAAUAUGUUUUCUCUUCGGAGCAAGGAGACAGGUGGUGCAUGGUUGUCGUCAGCUCGUGUCGUGAGAUGUUGGGUUAAGUCCCGCAACGAGCGCAACCCUUAUGGUCAGUUACUACGCAAGAGGACUCUGGCCAGACUGCCGUUGACAAAACGGAGGAAGGUGGGGAUGACGUCAAAUCAUCAUGCCCUUUAUGACUUGGGCUACACACGUACUACAAUGGCGUUAAACAAAGAGAAGCAAGACCGCGAGGUGGAGCAAAACUCAGAAACAACGUCCCAGUUCGGACUGCAGGCUGCAACUCGCCUGCACGAAGUCGGAAUUGCUAGUAAUCGUGGAUCAGCAUGCCACGGUGAAUACGUUCCCG